RNAcentral lists this ribosomal RNA (253 nucleotides) under uncultured bacterium. RNAcentral's name for it is "partial 16S ribosomal RNA". It matches the Rfam family "Bacterial small subunit ribosomal RNA", at positions 524 to 776 of the family's 1533-position model. The record is from RNAcentral.
UACAGAGGUGGCAAGCGUUGUUCGGAAUUACUGGGCGUAAAGGGCGCGUAGGCGGCCUGUUAAGUCGAACGUGAAAUCCCCGGGCUCAACCCGGGAACUGCGUCCGAUACUGGCAGGCUUGAAUUCGGGAGAGGGAUGUGGAAUUCCAGGUGUAGCGGUGAAAUGCGUAGAUAUCUGGAGGAGCACCGGUGGCGAAGGCGGCAUCCUGGACCGAUAUUGACGCUGAUGCGCGAAAGCCAGGGGAGCAAACGGG